GGUAAUGCCGGAUGUUCCACAUGAUCGCAUGUGAUUGUGGGAAAGAUUCUAUCGGCGUGGGAUGGGGUCGCGUCCUAUCAGCUUGUUGGUGAGGUAACGGCUCACCAAGGCUUCGACGGGUAGCCGGCCUGAGAGGGCGACCGGCCACAUUGGGACUGAGAUACGGCCCAGACUCCUACGGGAGGCAGCAGUGGGGAAUAUUGCACAAUGGGCGCAAGCCUGAUGCAGCGACGCCGCGUGAGGGAUGGAGGCCUUCGGGUUGUAAACCUCUUUUGUUUGGGAGCAAGCCUUCGGGUGAGUGUACCUUUCGAAUAAGCGCCGGCUAACUACGUGCCAGCAGCCGCGGUAAUACGUAGGGCGCAAGCGUUAUCCGGAUUUAUUGGGCGUAAAGGGCUCGUAGGCGGCUCGUCGCGUCCGGUGUGAAAGUCCAUCGCUUAACGGUGGAUCUGCGCCGGGUACGGGCGGGCUGGAGUGCGGUAGGGGAGACUGGAAUUCCCGGUGUAACGGUGGAAUGUGUAGAUAUCGGGAAAGAAACA
RNAcentral lists this ribosomal RNA (536 nucleotides) under Bifidobacterium bifidum. RNAcentral's name for it is "bacterial SSU rRNA". It matches the Rfam family "Bacterial small subunit ribosomal RNA", at positions 162 to 708 of the family's 1533-position model. The record is from RNAcentral. Lineage: Bacteria; Bacillati; Actinomycetota; Actinomycetes; Bifidobacteriales; Bifidobacteriaceae.